UUCACAAAAAAGCUCCGGGCGCGCCCGCUGUCUCCCCCGCGUGUUCCCCCCCGGAGGUGGCGAGGGCGGCUGCGGCGCUGCCGGGCGGGGACACGGCCCCGCGGGGAACGCGCCGCAGGUCCCCGCUCUACGCUGCCCCCGGCCCGUGCCGGCGGUUCCCCGCUCCCCCCGCCCCCCGCCGCGGGGCACGGCCGCCCGCACCCGCCGCCGCUCCAGGGAACACGAUUUGGCUCCGGGCCUGUACACAUCUGAUGGGAAGGCAACGGCACGGAACACACAGGAGCUGAUGCGAGGAUGACGGUCUGAUCCCCUCCCCACGCUCGCUCCCAGACCAGCUGGCGUGGAAAGUUGGUGCCUGUGCCACUUUUCUGACGGGCAGUGUUGAAAAGCGCGCUGUGAAGCCCAGUGAGCUCGGUGGGAUCUGGUGCUGGUUCCCCGGGGCUGUGCACAAGUCCUCGGGCAGGGCCGGGCAGAGCUGCGGCACCUGCGGCACCUGGUGAGGACGCGGCGAGUGCUGAGGAGCCGAGCCCGGCAGAGCUGCCGCACUGCGGGUGCCAGACCAGGCUGGGCGCCCAGCCCGGGCCCUCCCACCUCUUCAUCCCACGGUGGGGGCGAGAGGAUGAGCGAGUGGUUGCGUGGUCCCCGUUGCCGGCUGGAGUGAAAGCACCAGCACUAGUCCAGAGCACCCGUGUCUGCAGAGACACCCGCCAUUAACCAACGGACAAAACCAAACCUUGCAAAAAUCCCCAAGCCUGAAUUUCUGACAUGAGGCUCUUAGUGGAUUUUCAGCACUGGUAGACUGUUCUGAGUAAGUGUUCUUCCCACGUCUGGAUUCCUCUUGGCAGAUGCUGACACAGAAAUGUGAGAAGAAAAAAAAAAAAAACACCACAAAAGGCAAUUUAUAUUUCAGACAGACAUUAGAAGACACUUUUUUACACUGGAGAUUAUUGUCUUUCUCAUUUUGCAGGCUGUGUCACUCACACCUACCCUAAAAACAAAUAAGGAUGGUUCUGCAUUCUGCCCAGUUCCAGUCUCCCCUGGGAUCUCCUGAUCCCUCCUGUGGCUCCGUUCCCACUGUCCCUUUCUUGCCUGGUACCCCAGGAUGUGUCACCCGAGGUGCAGGUGGCUCAUGGGUCACGUCACGUCUUGCCGGGACCGCCUGUCCUGGCCCCGGCUCUCCAGCGCGUUUGAGGCCUCUGCCAAGGCAGGAAACGGUCAGGAGAACUUAAACAUUUUCACUGUUUUCCCAGUUUGGGUGUGUUUGCCAUGGAACAGACGGAGCACCCCAGUUUGCAACACAUCGGCCAGGGGCCUUUUGAGAAACCAGUGAAGAUCUUCCUCGUAAACAGGAGAAAAAGAGAGCGAAGACAGAGAUAGGAAUUCCUUCUGUGGGAGGAAAGAUAUAUAUAUACAUAUAUAUACACAUAUGAUGUGUGUUUUUCCAGAGAAUCAGUUCUUUGCCCAAAGUGUUGUAUUUAUUGCUUCCCAGGGUCUCAAAGCUGCUCCAGUUCAAGGUUGUGGAACAGCUCCAGUUGCUUGCAGCAGCAGCAGAAUGAAGUCUUGUAUUUGCCAUGCUGUUUUCUUGCCUGAGGGCUGUAGAAAGGACAUGCUGUGCAUUUACAACAAGAUGCAUCUGCUUUUUUUUCCCCUGAAGUCUCUCUCAUCAUGAGUGUGAGGUUCCCGUGCAUCUGAAGUCAUUUCUUUUUCCUCUUACAUUUUUCUUGCCUGGCACAAAUUAUUACCAGCUGUAUAACUGCGAGUACAUUCAAAGAGUAAAGGUAUGAGUUCAGUCUAAUCAAACCUCCAGCAAAAUCCCAGGCACAUAAUCUUUCUCCAGGUGCAAAUUAUUUAAUUACAGGUGUGUGCUAGAACCUCUUGAAACACUCCAGCACCCACUGGUUGGAGAAUUAAAACGGGUCUGGGUGCUGCUGCAGAUGACCCGAACAUCUGUUUGCAACCUGAAAUCCAAGCAGAGGCUGAAGUCAUUGCCAGACACGUUUCCAAAGGCAUGGUUCAAAGCAUUUGACUGAAAUCACGCCAUUUUAGCUGAAUUCAUAGCAGUGAAACGUGCCAUGCGUUUGUUUUACCGGUCCCGUGGUGCUGGUGGUUGAAGUGGCGCUGGCGCUGCCCCGCAGCAGCCACUGCUGUCCCGCACACGCUGUGGACCUGUCGCUCCUGUGCUUUCCCUUUCCUUAGACAACGGUCGAAAUGCCGCUUGCCUGACUUUUUACCUCUUGGAAAACGCUUUAGGAGCAGGGACGGCUGUGUUGAGGCACAAAAUUACUUUGAGUUUUUUGCCUCUUUUUCUUGGGCAAAAUUCAAGUUACCUGCCUGGCUCUGGGGAGACUUCACAGGCUGGAGAUAUUAAAGACAUUCAGUAUCUUUC
This is a long non-coding RNA of Columba livia (rock pigeon), 2386 nucleotides long. RefSeq lists it as uncharacterized. NCBI's taxonomy places the organism in Eukaryota, Metazoa, Chordata, Aves, Columbiformes, Columbidae. The transcript is spliced from 2 exons. The record is from RefSeq and is a predicted model, not a curated record.